UUGAUGAAGAGUUUGAUCCUGGCUCAGGAUUAACGCUGGCGGUGUGUCUAAUACAUGCAAGUCGAGCGAGGCUUCGAGCCGAGCGGCGGACGAGCGAGUAACACGUUAGUACCUGCCCCGAACUCAGGGAUAACCCACCGAAAGGUGUGGCUAAUACCGGAUGGUCCCGUAAGGGUAAAGAUUUAUCGGUUCGGGAGGGGCUUGCGGCCUAUCAGCUUGUUGGUGAGGUAAGAGCUCACCAAGGCUACGACGGGUAACUGGUCUGAGAGGAUGAUCAGUCGCGAUGGGACUGAGACACGGCCCAUACUCCUACGGGAGGCAGCAGUAGGGAAUCUUCCACAAUGGGCGAAAGCCUGAUGGAGCAACACCGCGUGGUCGAUGAAGCCCCUUGGGGUGUAAAGACCUUUUCUGAGGGAAGAAUUCUGACGGUACCUUAGGAAUAAGCACCGGCUAACUCCGUGCCAGCAGCCGCGGUAAUACGGAGGGUGCAAGCGUUAUCCGGAAUAAUUGGGCGUAAAGCGUCUGCAGGUGGUUUGUUAAGUCAGAUAUUAAAGACGGCAGCUCAACUGUCGGAGUGUAUCUGAUACUGGCAGGCUAGAGUCUUGGAGAGGUAAGCAGAAUUCUGCAUGUAGGGGUAAAAUCCGUAGAUAUGCAGAGGAAUACCAAAAGCGAAGGCAGCUUACUGGCCAAGUACUGACACUCAUAGACGAAAGCGUGGGGAGCAAACAGGAUUAGAUACCCUGGUAGUCCACGCCGUAAACACUGGACACUCGGUGUUGGGGGUCUCAACCGCCCUCAGUGCCUAAGCUAACGCGAUAAGUGUCCCGCCUGGGGAGUACGAUCGCAAGAUUAAAACUCAAAGGAAUAGACGGGGACCCACACAAGCGGUGGAGCAUCUGGUUUAAUUCGACAAUAAGCGAGGAACCUUACCUGGACUUGACAUCCCGAGAAUUCUUUAGAAAUAGAGAAGUGCCUUCUGGAACUCGGUGACAGGUGCUGCAUGGUUGUCGUCAGCUCGUGCCUUGAGGUGUUCGGUUAAGUCCGUGAACGAGCGCAACCCUUGUCCUGUGUUGUAUUUUUCACAGGAGACUGCCGGCUUCAAGUCGGAGGAAGGUAAGGAUGACGUCAAAUCAGCAUGGCCCUUAUGUCCAGGGCUACACAGGUGCUACAAUGGCAGGUACAACGGGUAGCCAAGCAGUAAUGCGGAGCCAAUCCUUCAAAGCCUGUCUAAGUUCGGAUUGAGGGCUGAAACUCGCCCUCAUGAAGUUGGAAUCGCUAGUAAACGUGCAUCAGCAAUGGCGCGUUGAAUAUGUUCCUGGGUCUUGUACUCACCGCCCGUCAAGUCACGAAAGAUGGGGGCGCCCGAAGUCCCAGACUCGUUCUGGGCCUAAGGUGAAACCAUUGAUUGGGACUAAGUCGUAACAAGGUAUCCGUAGGAGAACCUGCGGAUGGACCACCUCCUUU
Molecule: ribosomal RNA, 1464 nt
Filed under: Candidatus Peregrinibacteria bacterium CG_4_10_14_0_2_um_filter_41_8
Lineage: Bacteria; Candidatus Peregrinibacteriota
Also listed under: 1 other name
Description: bacterial SSU rRNA
Rfam family: Bacterial small subunit ribosomal RNA
Source: RNAcentral